RNAcentral lists this ribosomal RNA (617 nucleotides) under Leptographium terebrantis. Its description in RNAcentral is "eukaryotic LSU rRNA". It matches the Rfam family "Eukaryotic large subunit ribosomal RNA", at positions 1 to 637 of the family's 3401-position model. The record is from RNAcentral. RNAcentral also lists the same sequence under 1 other name. Lineage: Eukaryota; Fungi; Ascomycota; Sordariomycetes; Ophiostomatales; Ophiostomataceae.
UUGACCUCGGAUCAGGUAGGACUACCCGCUGAACUUAAGCAUAUCAAUAAGCGGAGGAAAAGAAACCAACAGGGAUUGCCCCAGUAACGGCGAGUGAAGCGGCAACAGCUCAGAUUUGGAAUCUGGCCCCCAGGGCCCGAGUUGUAAUCUGGAGAGGAUGCUUCUGGCGCGGCGCCUUCCGAGUUCCCUGGAACGGGACGCCGGAGAGGGUGAGAGCCCCGUACGGUUGGACGCCUAGCCUUUGUGAAGCUCCUUCGACGAGUCGAGUAGUUUGGGAAUGCUGCUCAAAAUGGGAGGUAAAUUUCUUCUAAAGCUAAAUACCGGCCAGAGACCGAUAGCGCACAAGUAGAGUGAUCGAAAGAUGAAAAGCACUUUGAAAAGAGGGUCAAACAGUACGUGAAAUUGUUGAAAGGGAAGCGCCCGUGGCCAGACUUGUGCCCCGCGGACCACCCGGCGCCCUCAGCGCCGGUGCACUCCGCGGGGCGCAGGCCAGCAUCGGUUUUCCUAGGGGGAUAAAGGCGGCGGGAACGUGGCUCCCUCGGGAGUGUUAUAGCCCGCCGCGCCAUGCCCCUGGGGGGACCGAGGACCGCGCUUCGGCAAGGAUGCUGGCGUAAUGG